GUUGAGCUGAGAUAUACUAAGAGAGGUCCAGUAUAAAACAAUGCCAUUUUAUGAGAUAACCGAGAAGUUUCUUUCAAUGGUAUUGCAUCAUCGAUCCUAUUGAAGUACCUUUAGAAAAUUUUUAAUUUAUUUCUCUACUUACAUCUGAAUUCUUUGAAUCUUUCAAAAAUUUUAUAUUUGUAUCUCAUAUACAAAGUAGAGACAACUCUUUGGUUAGCACAUCACACGGG
RNAcentral lists this long non-coding RNA (230 nucleotides) under Elaeis guineensis (African oil palm). RNAcentral describes it as "long non-coding RNA (EGUI_LNC045926)". Lineage: Eukaryota; Viridiplantae; Streptophyta; Magnoliopsida; Arecales; Arecaceae. The record is from RNAcentral.